UGACAUAUACCUUUGUCUAACAUCUGAGUAAUGUGACUCUCAUGUGUGGGCCCAGCACGCAUCAGAUGGGAUUGUUACAUACACCUGGGCCAAGCACUUAGGCGAUGUGACUCUCCUGCCAGGGCGAGCCCUGUAGUAAGGAGGAUUUUAACAUAUUGCUGUACUCAGCACCUAGGUGAUGGGAUUUUUCUUCCUGGUUCCUGCCCAGAGUUCAAAUUGUGACAUAUAUCUGGGCCCAAAACACAGCUGAUGGUAAGGAUUAUUACCCUUCCAUAUGGACACAGCCCAUUGUUGAGGUUCUGAAUCUCACAGCUGGAGGCAAUUGAAAGUUGGAUGUGUGAUUCUUAUACAUGGAUCCAGAUCACAGGUAAGAUGAUGACUUCUGAAUCAAGAUCAAACACCCUUGUGAGGCUGUGUCUCCCCUAUCAGGAUACUAUUUGCAGAUGAGGUUGGGGGUCUCAUACACAGAUCUAGUCCACGGUUGAGGUUGUGACUCAGGUACUUGGACAGAAUUCACAAGAGCUGCUAAUUCUUAUAUUUGGAGCCAGGCCAUAUGCAAUAUUGUUAAUCUCAUCCCUGGACCUUUCUGCAGGUGUGAUUUUGAUUCAUACCUUUGCCCAGCACCUAACUGAUUUUACAUUUCUGCAUGGGUUCAGACUAAAUGUGGGAUUGUGACAUAUACCUAGGCCAAGCACAUAGGUGAUGGGACUCUCCUGCCUGGGCCAGUCUCUCAGAGGUGACUUAGAAAUAUCUUAUGCAGCCAUCACCUAGCUAAUGUGACUCUCCUCUCCUGCCUGGGCUCAGCCCACAGGGGCAUUAUGACGUAUUACUGGGUUCAUCACCUAGGUGACAUGACUCUCCUCUUCUGCCUGGGCCCCACCCCCAUUUGGAAUUUGGACAUAUCCGUGGGCCUAUCACCUAGGUGAUAUGAAUCUCCUCUUUUGCCUUGGACCUUCUUACAUGGGGAAUUGAGACAAAUUACUGGGCCCAGCACCUAGCAGAUGUUACUGUCUGUUUUGCCUGGAUCUUGCCUACAGAAGGGAUUGUGACAAAUCAGUGGGCCAAGCAUCCAGGGUAAUUUGUGACAUACUGCUGGACCCAGCACCCAGAUCAUUUGACUCUCCUGCCUUGGUCCUGCCCACAGAGGGCAUUGUGACAUGUGAGUGGGCUCAGCAGCCAGAUGAUGUCACCUUCCUGCCAGGACUCUUCCAACAGAAGGGGCAUUGACCUACUCAGGCUCAGUAUUCAGGUGCUGUCUGAGGUUUGGCUGUCAUGCGUGGAUUCAAGUUGCUGUUGAAAUUGUGAUGUGCAGCUGGGCAUGGUGGCUCAUGCUUGUAAUCCCAGCACUUUGGGAGGCCAAGGCAGGUGGAUCACC
This 1375-nucleotide long non-coding RNA is filed under the name Homo sapiens (human). Its description in RNAcentral is "HSALNT0341198". Lineage: Eukaryota; Metazoa; Chordata; Mammalia; Primates; Hominidae. The record is from RNAcentral.